Falco peregrinus (peregrine falcon) is the source of this 420-nucleotide long non-coding RNA. RefSeq lists it as uncharacterized. Lineage: Eukaryota; Metazoa; Chordata; Aves; Falconiformes; Falconidae. The transcript is spliced from 2 exons. The record is from RefSeq and is a predicted model, not a curated record.
ACUGGCAACCUUGAACUGAAAACACCUCUCUGUGACUCCCUGUUUUGGUGACUUGCUGAGAUUUGUUUCAGCAGCAAGCAGCUGCCUGGGUGGCAGGAGCUGAGUGGGUGUCUGUGCCCUGGACCUGAAGCUUUUCUGCCUGACUUCUAGGGUAACUUUCAGCAUUAAAUUGGAUGUAAGCCAUCAACUGCAGACCCUGCAAAUAAAACUGCAUGUGCACCUCUCUGAAGAUCCUUUGUGCAUCAUGGGGAACCUACAGUCUUCUACCAUCCUGCAGCAACACUGUGAUGCCCCUAAAAAUAGCCCACUUGCUCCCAAUUGUAUGUCAUAACAUGACUCCCUGGUCUCUCUUUUGACAUAUAUUAUAUAUAUAGAGAAUACAUAUGUGUAUAAAAGGUAGUUUUGAGUUCAAACUGAAAA